RNAcentral lists this ribosomal RNA (496 nucleotides) under uncultured bacterium. RNAcentral's name for it is "partial 16S ribosomal RNA". It matches the Rfam family "Bacterial small subunit ribosomal RNA", at positions 28 to 506 of the family's 1533-position model. The record is from RNAcentral.
GAUGAACGCUGGCGGCGUGCCUAAUACAUGCAAGUCGAGCGAACAGAUGAGGAGCUUGCUCCUCUGACGUUAGCGGCGGACGGGUGAGUAACACGUGGAUAACCUACCUAUAAGACUGGGAUAACUUCGGGAAACCGGAGCUAAUACCGGAUAAUAUAUUGAACCGCAUGGUUCAAUAGUGAAAGACGGUUUUGCUGUCACUUAUAGAAGGAUCCGCGCCGCAUUAGCUAGUUGGUAAGGUAACGGCUUACCAAGGCGACGAUGCGUAGCCGACCUGAGAGGGUGAUCGGCCACACUGGAACUGAGACACGGUCCAGACUCCUACGGGAGGCAGCAGUAGGGAAUCUUCCGCAAUGGGCGAAAGCCUGACGGAGCAACGCCGCGUGAGUGAUGAAGGUCUUCGGAUCGUAAAACUCUGUUAUUAGGGAAGAACAAAUGUGUAAGUAACUAUGCACGUCUUGACGGGACCUAAUCAGAAAGCCACGGCUAACUACGU